GACGAACGCUGGCGGCGUGCUUAACACAUGCAAGUCGAACGGAAAGGCCCUGCUUUUGUGGGGUGCUCGAGUGGCGAACGGGUGAGUAACACGUGAGUAACCUGCCCUUGACUUUGGGAUAACUUCAGGAAACUGGGGCUAAUACCGGAUAGGAGCUCCUGCUGCAUGGUGGGGGUUGGAAAGUUUCGGCGGUUGGGGAUGGACUCGCGGCUUAUCAGCUUGUUGGUGGGGUAGUGGCUUACCAAGGCUGUGACGGGUAGCCGGCCUGAGAGGGUGACCGGCCACAUUGGGACGGAGAUACGGCACAGACUCCUACGGGAGGCAGCAGUGGGGAAGAGUGCACAAGGGGCGGAAGCCUGAUGCAGCAACGCCGCGUGCGGGAUGACGGCCUUCGGGUUGUAAACCGCUGUCGCCUGUGACGAAGCGUGAGUGACGGUAAUGGGUAAAGAAGCACCGGCUAACUACGUG
Molecule: ribosomal RNA, 468 nt
Filed under: uncultured bacterium
Lineage: Bacteria
Description: partial 16S ribosomal RNA
Rfam family: Bacterial small subunit ribosomal RNA
Source: RNAcentral